AGGGAAAGCGGCGGACGGGUGAGUAACGCGUAGGCAACCUGCCCUUAGCAGAGGGAUAGCCAUUGGAAACGAUGAUUAAAACCUCAUAACGCUUGAGAGACACAUGGUCUUUUGAGCCAAAGAUUUAUCGGCUAAGGAUGGGCCUGCGUCUGAUUAACUGGUUGGUGAGGUAACCGGCUCACCAAGGUGACGAUCAGUAGCCGACCUGAGAGGGUGAUCGGCCACAUUGGAACUGAGACACGGUCCAAACUUCUACGGAAGGCAGCAGUAAGGAAUCUUGCACAAUAGGGGGGAAACCCUGAUGCAGCAACGCCGCGUGAACGAAGAAGGCCUUCGGGUUGUAAAGUUCUGAUCUUGGGGAAGAAGGAAGUGACGGUACCCAAGGAGAAAGCCCCGGCUAACUACGUGCCAGCCGCGGC
This 419-nucleotide ribosomal RNA is filed under the name uncultured bacterium. RNAcentral's name for it is "bacterial SSU rRNA". It matches the Rfam family "Bacterial small subunit ribosomal RNA", at positions 88 to 518 of the family's 1533-position model. The record is from RNAcentral.